RNAcentral lists this ribosomal RNA (843 nucleotides) under uncultured Pseudomonas sp. Its description in RNAcentral is "bacterial SSU rRNA". It matches the Rfam family "Bacterial small subunit ribosomal RNA", at positions 26 to 864 of the family's 1533-position model. Lineage: Bacteria; Pseudomonadati; Pseudomonadota; Gammaproteobacteria; Pseudomonadales; Pseudomonadaceae. The record is from RNAcentral.
AGAUUGAACGCUGGCGGCAGGCCUAACACAUGCAAGUCGAGCGGUAGAGAGAAGCUUGCUUCUCUUGAGAGCGGCGGACGGGUGAGUAAUGCCUAGGAAUCUGCCUGGUAGUGGGGGAUAACGUUCGGAAACGGACGCUAAUACCGCAUACGUCCUACGGGAGAAAGCAGGGGACCUUCGGGCCUUGCGCUAUCAGAUGAGCCUAGGUCGGAUUAGCUAGUUGGUGAGGUAAUGGCUCACCAAGGCGACGAUCCGUAACUGGUCUGAGAGGAUGAUCAGUCACACUGGAACUGAGACACGGUCCAGACUCCUACGGGAGGCAGCAGUGGGGAAUAUUGGACAAUGGGCGAAAGCCUGAUCCAGCCAUGCCGCGUGUGUGAAGAAGGUCUUCGGAUUGUAAAGCACUUUAAGUUGGGAGGAAGGGUUGUAGAUUAAUACUCUGCAAUUUUGACGUUACCGACAGAAUAAGCACCGGCUAACUCUGUGCCAGCAGCCGCGGUAAUACAGAGGGUGCAAGCGUUAAUCGGAAUUACUGGGCGUAAAGCGCGCGUAGGUGGUUUGUUAAGUUGGAUGUGAAAUCCCCGGGCUCAACCUGGGAACUGCAUUCAAAACUGACUGACUAGAGUAUGGUAGAGGGUGGUGGAAUUUCCUGUGUAGCGGUGAAAUGCGUAGAUAUAGGAAGGAACACCAGUGGCGAAGGCGACCACCUGGACUAAUACUGACACUGAGGUGCGAAAGCGUGGGGAGCAAACAGGAUUAGAUACCCUGGUAGUCCACGCCGUAAACGAUGUCAACUAGCCGUUGGAAGCCUUGAGCUUUUAGUGGCGCAGCUAACGCAUUAAG